AGUAUUUACAGACAUGACCACAAUUACCAACAAGAAAUGCCACAUAAUUAGAAAAUGAAAUCAAGCCACUGAAAACUCGCAGGUCAUAAAACACACAGGAAUAUGACAAUUUCUAUAGUACAACAAUUGCAAAUCUAUUGCCCAUUUCAUAAUCUGAAUCUACAGAAAAUGUCCCUGCGUGACUUGAAUCUAAAUAAAACAAUAAUGACAGUAAAAUCAGAUUACAUGGGGACAGCACGUGCCUUGUACAUACAAAUAUACGCCAUAUGCCAGUCACCUCCCCCAGAUAGUUUAGUUAUAUCAUCCUCCCGCUGUGGAAUGGGAUUAUCAUCAUCAAACUCAAUCCAUUUACCAUUUUCUUGCUUUACCCAGGCAACAUA
Molecule: unclassified non-coding RNA, 380 nt
Filed under: Hevea brasiliensis (rubber tree)
Lineage: Eukaryota; Viridiplantae; Streptophyta; Magnoliopsida; Malpighiales; Euphorbiaceae
Source: RNAcentral